This 860-nucleotide ribosomal RNA is filed under the name uncultured Gemmatimonadota bacterium. Its description in RNAcentral is "bacterial SSU rRNA". It matches the Rfam family "Bacterial small subunit ribosomal RNA", at positions 1 to 845 of the family's 1533-position model. The record is from RNAcentral. Lineage: Bacteria; Pseudomonadati; Gemmatimonadota.
CCGCGGGAUUAGAGUUUGAUCCUGGCUCAGGACGAACGCUGGCGGCGUGCUUAACACAUGCAAGUCGAGGGCACUUUGGGGGCAACUCUGGAGUGACCGGCGAACGGGUGCGUAACACGUGAGCGACCUUGCCUCGUGGUGGGGGAUAGCCGGCCCAACGGCCGGGUAAUACCGCAUAGGGUAGUUUCUUCGCAUGGGGAGACUAGCAAAGCCUUGGAGCAAUCCAAUGGCGCCACAGGGGGGGCUCGCGGCCUAUCAGCUAGUUGGGGGGGUAAUGGCCCACCAAGGCGACGACGGGUAGCUGGUCUGAGAGGAUGGCCAGCCACAUUGGGACUGAGAGACGGCCCAGACUCCUACGGGAGGCAGCAGUGGGGAAUCUUGCGCAAUGGCCGAAAGGCUGACGCAGCGACGCCGCGUGGGGGAGGAAGGCCUUCGGGUUGUAAACCCCUGUUGCCCGGGACGAAUGUGCAUUUUUGAAUGCAUUGACGGUACCGGGUGAGGAAGCACCGGCUAACUCCGUGCCAGCAGCCGCGGUAAUACGGAGGGUGCAAGCGUUGUCCGGAAUCACUGGGCGUAAAGGGCGCGUAGGCGGCUCAUAAAGGCUGUGGUGAAAGUUCGGGGCUCAACCUCGAAUCGGCCGUGGCGACUUGUGGGCUGGAGCACUGUAGAGGCAGGUGGAAUUCCGGGUGUAGCGGUGGAAUGCGUAGAGAUCCGGAAGAACACCAGUGGCGAAGGCGGCCUGCUGGGCAGUGGCUGACGCUGAGGCGCGACAGCGUGGGGAGCAAACAGGAUUAGAUACCCUGGUAGUCCACGCCGUAAACGAUGGGCACUAGGUGCUUGGGGGAGCGACCCUCUGAGUG